Homo sapiens (human) is the source of this 1360-nucleotide long non-coding RNA. The record is from Ensembl. Lineage: Eukaryota; Metazoa; Chordata; Mammalia; Primates; Hominidae.
AGGCCUCGACUCUAGUGCAGGGGUGGUGGAGAGGGGACUGUGCCAGUUCCCUGGACAAUCCCAGCUGCUUCAUCUUGGACUGACAUGGACACCAGGCAGUAACACCAGCUCUUGGGAGUUGGUGGGAACAGGUGUAAUAUCAAAGCUCCCAGCUCUGCACUCUCCUGUCACAUAGGAAGACCUCAGAAAAUGGAGGUUCCUUCCUUUCCACCUGCACUGGGGGAGUGCAAUGAGCAGAAGAAAAGCGAAGGUCCCUCCACCUUCUGAGAUCAGCUGACACCUGAGCUUAGGCCUCCCUACCUAAGAGCUGGGUCCUAAUUCACUGGUUCUGUACAUCAGGAAGGCAAAGCACAGACAGAGCACACCACCACCUGCAGCUGUCUCCUGCCUCCAGUGCAUCAGAGUCUGGAGCGCGUUGCUUCUCUGGAGGGAGAUAAAGACACAGUGGCUACCUGGGGAGAUAAAACAGCACCAGCAGGAAUCAGGGGUUCCAGAGAGGAGGGAACCUGGCCCUGGGCUAUCCUGGCUUUUGUCUCUGCCAUUUCUACUAAAACCACUCUGCUCAAGGCUGUCAUCAGUGUCUCCACUGCCCAGCCCUGGACUGUCAGAGCCACUCCGGGACAUCUGCACCAGAUGCAUGAGUUUCCUGAUACAGCGAAAUCUCAGCAGGAGUUGACACCCACCUGCCUGGUGCUCUGGGAUGAAUUUCUGCACAGAUGCAACCUCUGUGGGUGGAAGCCAGGAUGAAGUAUAUGCAUCUGUGAAGACUGGCCUUCCAUCUGUUUUCUGAUGCAACCAAAAUGCUUCAGGGCUCGUCUUAUCUGGAGGUUUGAUGGCUACAGACGUGAGGGGCUUCCAGGUAGAGCUCAGACCUGAGACUUCUGGUCCCCUGUCUGGACAUCUGUAUGAAGACGGAGAAGCACCAGCCAACCUCUCCACAACCCUCACCAAGUUCUCAUGGAACAUCCUCUGAUGGUCCCUCUCGGUGCUGGGUUCUGGCAGGAGAAAGAGAAGUCAGGGAACAGAAGAGCUGCUCUGCCAAAGUCAUACCCUUCUUGGAGACACAGGGAACUCCAUCUCUCAUUCUCACUAGCAAUUUGCUGUGGCAACUCAAAUGUUUUUCCAGAUGGAACAUAAGCAGACGUGAUGUGUUUGCCUUCCAGGUCUAACCCAUGCAAAGCCUCCUGGGAACACACCUCACGCUAUUUUCUAUUCCAUCAGGUGGAUAUGGAUGAUGAUUAGGAACUAGGGUGAGGUGGAGCCAGAAAACACAAGGAGCCUGGAUCCCUGAAUGACCACAUGGACAUACACAUGCUGAAGACUGCCUUGUAAGCAGGAAAUAAACAUCUACUGUAUUGAA